This 483-nucleotide ribosomal RNA is filed under the name uncultured bacterium. RNAcentral's name for it is "bacterial SSU rRNA". It matches the Rfam family "Bacterial small subunit ribosomal RNA", at positions 28 to 526 of the family's 1533-position model. The record is from RNAcentral.
GACGAACGCUGGCGGCGUGCUUAACACAUGCAAGUCGAACGGUGAACCGGCUUCGGCCGGGGAUCAGUGGCGAACGGGUGAGUAACACGUGGGCAACCUGCCCCAGACUCUGGGAUAACCCCGGGAAACCGGGGCUAAUACCGGAUACGACCGCUUCGGGCAUCCGUUGUGGUGGAAAGAUUUCUCGGUCUGGGAUGGGCCCGCGGCCUAUCAGCUUGUUGGUGGGGUAAUGGCCUACCAAGGCGACGACGGGUAGCCGGCCUGAGAGGGCGACCGGCCACACUGGGACUGAGACACGGCCCAGACUCCUACGGGAGGCAGCAGUGGGGAAUAUUGCGCAAUGGGCGAAAGCCUGACGCAGCGACGCCGCGUGAGGGAUGAAGGCCUUCGGGUUGUAAACCUCUUUCAGCAGGGACGAAGCGAAAGUGACUGUACCUGCAGAAGAAGCACCGGCUAACUACGUGCCAGCAGCCGCAGUAACAC